This 253-nucleotide ribosomal RNA is filed under the name Alistipes onderdonkii. RNAcentral's name for it is "partial 16S ribosomal RNA". It matches the Rfam family "Bacterial small subunit ribosomal RNA", at positions 524 to 776 of the family's 1533-position model. Lineage: Bacteria; Pseudomonadati; Bacteroidota; Bacteroidia; Bacteroidales; Rikenellaceae. The record is from RNAcentral.
UACGGAGGAUCCAAGCGUUAUCCGGAUUUAUUGGGUUUAAAGGGUGCGUAGGCGGUUUGAUAAGUUAGAGGUGAAAUCCCGGGGCUUAACUCCGGAACUGCCUCUAAUACUGUUGGACUAGAGAGUAGUUGCGGUAGGCGGAAUGUAUGGUGUAGCGGUGAAAUGCUUAGAGAUCAUACAGAACACCGAUUGCGAAGGCAGCUUACCAAACUAUAUCUGACGUUGAGGCACGAAAGCGUGGGGAGCAAACAGG